GACGAACGCUGGCGGCGUGCUUAACACAUGCAAGUCGAACGGAAAGGCCCUGCUUUUGUGGGGUGCUCGAGUGGCGAACGGGUGAGUAACACGUGAGUAACCUGCCCUUGACUUUGGGAUAACUUCAGGAAACUGGGGCUAAUACCGGAUAGGAGCUCCUGCUGCAUGGUGGGGGUUGGAAAGUUUCGGCGGUUGGGGAUGGACUCGCGGCUUAUCAGCUUGUUGGUGGGGUAGUGGCUUACCAAGGCUUUGACGGGUAGCCGGCCUGAGAGGGUGACCGGCCACAUUGGGACUGAGAUACGGCCCAGACUCCUACGGGAGGCAGCAGUGGGGAAUAUUGCACAAUGGGCGGAAGCCUGAUGCAGCAACGCCGCGUGCGGGAUGACGGCCUUCGGGUUGUAAACCGCUUUCGCCUGUGACGAAGCGUGAGUGACGGUAAUGGGUAAAGAAGCACCGGCUAACUACGUGCCAGCAGCCGCGGUGAUACGUAGGGUGCGAGCGUUGUCCGGAUUUAUUGGGCGUAAAGGGCUCGUAGGUGGUUGAUCGCGUCGGAAGUGUAAUCUUGGGGCUUAACCCUGAGCGUGCUUUCGAUACGGGUUGACUUGAGGAAGGUAGGGGAGAAUGGAAGUCCUGGUGGAGCGGUGGAAUGCGCAGAUAUCAGGAGGAACACCAGUGGCGAAGGCGGUUCUCUGGGCCUUUCCUGACGCUGAGGAGCGAAAGCGUGGGGAGCGAACAGGCUUAGAUACCCUGGUAGUCCACGCUGUAAACGGUGGGUACUAGGUGUGGGGUCCAUUCCACGGGUUCCGUGCCGUAGCUAACGCUUUAAGUACCCCGCCUGGGGAGUACGGCCGCAAGGCUAAAACUCAAAGGAAUUGACGGGGCCCCGCACAAGCGGCGGAGCAUGCGGAUUAAUUCGAUGCAACGCGUAGAACCUUACCUGGGUUUGACAUGGAUCGGGAGUGCUCAGAGAUGGGUGUGCCUCUUUUGGGGUCGGUUCACAGGUGGUGCAUGGCUGUCGUCAGCUCGUGUCGUGAGAUGUUGGGUUAAGUCCCGCAACGAGCGCAACCCUUGUUCACUGUUGCCAGCACGUUAUGGUGGGGACUCAGUGGAGACCGCCGGGGUCAACUCGGAGGAAGGUGGGGAUGACGUCAAGUCAUCAUGCCCCUUAUGUCCAGGGCUUCACGCAUGCUACAAUGGCUGGUACAGAGAGUGGCGAGCCUGUGAGGGUGAGCGAAUCUCGGAAAGCCGGUCUCAGUUCGGAUUGGGGUCUGCAACUCGACCUCAUGAAGUCGGAGUCGCUAGUAAUCGCAGAUCAGCAACGCUGCGGUGAAUACGUUCCCGGGGCU
RNAcentral lists this ribosomal RNA (1346 nucleotides) under uncultured bacterium. RNAcentral's name for it is "partial 16S ribosomal RNA". It matches the Rfam family "Bacterial small subunit ribosomal RNA", at positions 28 to 1381 of the family's 1533-position model. The record is from RNAcentral.